RNAcentral lists this long non-coding RNA (1545 nucleotides) under Papio anubis (olive baboon). RNAcentral's name for it is "lncRNA (ENSPANG00000048869.1)". The record is from RNAcentral. Lineage: Eukaryota; Metazoa; Chordata; Mammalia; Primates; Cercopithecidae.
UUUGAAAAUUUUCAAAACUUGAAUGGCUUAUUUUUCUCAUAGAAUUUAGAUGUGUAAGCAUGAUUCGACAGCCAGGUGGUUCAUGGAUUUAAAACUAAAUUUUACAGAGCUCGAAGCCCUUUAAAGAGUGGAAAAGCGACAGAGCACAGCACUCAGAGGCACGGAGAUGCCUGCAGCCCUGUGCUCAUUUGCUGCCACCACGCACUCUACUGUACUAUGGAAUUGGGCCCUACGUAGCAGCAGUGUGAAAAGAAUGCCAUUUGGAAAACUGCUGCAGUCAUAAUUUGAGAGGCUGAGUCUCCCUGUCCUCACCCUUUCUCCAUUAUCUCCCGCCUGCUCUCAGUCCAGCCUCAGCCGUGGAACUCAUGGCAGAAGCUUUGGCAGCCUGGAAGCUUCGUGGGCUUUGGAGUCAGAUGGAGCCUUGCUCUGUCACCCAGGCUGGACUGCAGUGGUGCAAUCUCAGCUCACUGCAACCUCCACCUCCUGGGUUCAAGCAAUCCUCCUGCCUCGCCUCCCAAGUAGCUGAAACUACAGACACAUACCAUCAUGCCCGGUGAAUUUCUGUAUUUUUAGUAGAGACAGGUUUCACUGUAUUGCCCAGGCUGGACUCAAACUCCUGACAUCAAGUGAUCCGCUCGCCUCAGCCUUCCAAAGUGCUGGGAUUACAGGCAUGAGCCACUGUGCCUAGCCUAUAUUCUGAGAUUCUGAAUACGUCAACCUGAGGCUAAAAAUUUUCUGUUUUAAUUUUGAAGACCAUCUAUGGUGAAUAUAGUUUUUGUUUAGUUAACACACAUUAGCGAGAUAGCAAAUUUCACUCACACUAUAGUUGGAUGUGUGGUAUAAACUCUAUUCUUUUUGUUUUGUUUUGUUUUCUAACUUUUCCCCAUACCUCCUCCCAUUAAUUUUGGCCUGAUUGGAAAGGGUAGAAGAAACAGGAUCUUCUCCCUACUUUGAAAAACUCUGUGAACUAGGUCUUUCAAGUUUGGCCAUUGAUAGGCUAAAGGGCAAGAAAACAUUAGGAGACUCUUCUCUCAAGAUAAUAGCUUGGCUGGCUUGGUUUGUACUAGGCUGCGUAAUCCCUUUGAGUGUCAGAAGCUGAAUAUUAGUUCAAUAUUACUUUUUUAAGUUCUUUUAUAAUAUAUUAUACUAUUUCUUUAUGGAGGCGAAGUGAAGGUUUAUUUAGUAAGGCAAAUGAAGAAAUUGCAUUGAACUUCUAAAAAACCAUAACCAUCCUUUCUGCAAAUCUGUCAGAAGGCUACAUUCACCUACGUGAUUGCAGCAGUUCUGUUGAUGUUUGCACAAUCUUGUAUGUCUAGGAUUCUGUAAGUCUUCCGAGAGCAGCAAUCAUGUUUGUUGCUUCCCACUGUACACUAAGCUCCUAGGAUACUACUUAAAAGACUCAGUAACCAACUGUAAAUAUUUUUGAAUGAAAAAAUAAACCAUGAAAAAUCUGGAAUCUAUACCCAGAUGGAACAGAUUAACCCAGCAGUGACUCAUGCUCAUUUAAGUCCAAGAAACUUUGUCUUUCAUAAUGUUAAGAAGAAA